CCUACGGGAGGCAGCAGUGGGGAAUUUUGGACAAUGGGCGCAAGCCUGAUCCAGCCAUGCCGCGUGAGUGAAGAAGGCCUUCGGGUUGUAAAGCUCUUUCGGCCGGGAAGAAAUCGCAUUGGUUAAUACCUGGUGUGGAUGACGGUACCGGAAUAAGAAGCACCGGCUAACUACGUGCCAGCAGCCGCGGUAAUACGUAGGGUGCGAGCGUUAAUCGGAAUUACUGGGCGUAAAGCGUGCGCAGGCGGUUUUGUAAGACAGGCGUGAAAUCCCCGGGCUCAACCUGGGAACUGCGCUUGUGACUGCAAGGCUAGAGUACGGCAGAGGGGGGUGGAAUUCCACGUGUAGCAGUGAAAUGCGUAGAGAUGUGGAGGAACACCAAUGGCGAAGGCAGCCCCCUGGGUCGAUACUGACGCUCAUGCACGAAAGCGUGGGUAGCAAACAGGAUUAGAUACCCUGGUAGUCCACGCCCUAAACGAUGUCAACUAGGUGUUGGGAGGGUAAAACCUUUUAGUACCGGAGCUAACGCGUGAAGUUGACCGCCUGGGGAGUACGGCCGCAAGGUUAAAACUCAAAGGAAUUGACGGGGACCCGCACAAGCGGUGGAUGAUGUGGAUUAAUUCGAUGCAACGCGAAAAACCUUACCUACCCUUGACAUGUCAGGAAGUCUUGAGAGAUUGAGAUGUGCCCGAAAGGGAACCUGAACACAGGUGCUGCAUGGCUGUCGUCAGCUCGUGUCGUGAGAUGUUGGGUUAAGUCCCGCAACGAGCGCAACCCUUGUCGUUAAUUGCCAUCAUUUAGUUGGGCACUUUAGCGAGACUGCCGGUGACAAACCGGAGGAAGGUGGGGAUGACGUCAAGUCCUCAUGGCCCUUAUGGGUAGGGCUUCACACGUCAUACAAUGGUCGGUACAAAGGGUCGCCAACCCGCGAGGGGGAGCCAAUCCCAGAAAGCCGAUCGUAGUCCGGAUUGCAGGCUGCAACUCGCCUGCAUGAAGUCGGAAUCGCUAGUAAUCGUGGAUCAGCAUGUCACGGUGAAUACGUUCCCGGGCCUUGUACACACCGCC
Molecule: ribosomal RNA, 1065 nt
Filed under: uncultured Dechloromonas sp.
Lineage: Bacteria; Pseudomonadati; Pseudomonadota; Betaproteobacteria; Rhodocyclales; Azonexaceae
Description: bacterial SSU rRNA
Rfam family: Bacterial small subunit ribosomal RNA
Source: RNAcentral